Molecule: ribosomal RNA, 209 nt
Filed under: uncultured bacterium
Lineage: Bacteria
Description: partial 16S ribosomal RNA
Rfam family: Bacterial small subunit ribosomal RNA
Source: RNAcentral
UACAGAGGGGGCAAGCGUUGUCCGGACUUACUGGGCGUAAAGCGCACGCAGGUGGCCGCGCAAGUGUUGUGUGAAAGCCCCGCGCUCAACGCGGGGAGGCCACGACAGACUGCGCAGCUUGAGGGAUGCAGAGGGUGGUGGAAUUGCCGGUGUAGUGGUGAAAUGCGUAGAGAUCGGCAGGAACACCAAGGCCGAAGGGAGCCACCUGG